GGAGCCGAUGAAGGACGUGAUAAGCUGCGAUAAGCUUCGGGGAGUUGCACGUAAACUUUGAUCCGAAGAUUUCCGAAUGAGGAAACUCACUUAGAGUAAUGUCUAAGUAUCAUUAAGUGAAUACAUAGCUUAAUGAGGGGAACUCAGGGAACUGAAACAUCUAAGUACCUGAAGGAAGAGAAAGAAAUUCGAUUCCGUAAGUAGCGGCGAGCGAACGCGGAUUAGCCCAAACCAAUAAAGUUUUCUUUAUUGGGGUUGCGGAC
RNAcentral lists this ribosomal RNA (263 nucleotides) under Clostridioides difficile. RNAcentral's name for it is "partial 23S ribosomal RNA". It matches the Rfam family "Bacterial large subunit ribosomal RNA", at positions 42 to 305 of the family's 2925-position model. The record is from RNAcentral. Lineage: Bacteria; Bacillati; Bacillota; Clostridia; Peptostreptococcales; Peptostreptococcaceae.